Long non-coding RNA from Ruditapes philippinarum (Manila clam), 3908 nucleotides. RefSeq lists it as uncharacterized. NCBI's taxonomy places the organism in Eukaryota, Metazoa, Mollusca, Bivalvia, Venerida, Veneridae. The record is from RefSeq and is a predicted model, not a curated record. The transcript is spliced from 2 exons.
UUAUAAAAAGGAAACAUCAAUAUAUGUUCAAACCUUUCUAUGUUUGCAUUUAGAAAAAGUAAAAAGUCGAGCGUUGCCCCCGCCCGGCGGUGGCUCUUGUUAUUGUAAAAAUAGAAAGACAGAUUAUAAUAAUCCAGAAUUUGACAAGGGUUAGGGGUUGAAGUUGUUUUUAUUAUCAUUGAACAAAAUGUAAUAUAUAAAUGGAUACUAUCAUACAUGAAAAUAAAAAAAAACACAAACAAAAAGAAUGAUAUAUACAUGUUUAAAUAGUUAUAUGAUAUAUGAUACAAGGGAAUGGUAUAUAUAAAUACCAGUUAUAUGAUAUAUAUGACACAGGAAUGGUAUAAAUAAAUACCAGUUAUAUAAUAUAUAUGACACGAGAAUGGUAUAAAUAGAUACCAGUUAUAUGGUAAAUAGGACAGGGGAAUGUAUAAUAAUACCAGUUAUAUGUUAUAUAUGACAAGGGAAUGGUAUUUAUAAAUACCAGUUUUAUUAUACAUUAUACUAAGGACAAGGGAAUGAUUAUAUAUAUAAAUACCAGUUAUAUGAUUUAUAGGGCAGAUGAUCAGUAUAUAUUAUUACCAAUUAUAUGAUAUAUAGGAUUAUAUGAUAUAGAGGAAUUGUAAAUUUUUUAUAUGAAUACCUGUUAGAUGUCAGGACAAGUAAAUGGUAUACUUUUUUUUCAUGGAGAUGAGGACUACUUACAAUUUAUAUUUUAGAAAUUCCUUCUUUGAUUGUUUUAUAUGGUAAUGAUUGAAAAAGGGAGAAAAAUUAUAAUUAUGCAAAAUGAUUAAUUUGUACAAGUUAAUAUUUUUAGUCAGUAUAAGUCAAAGUGUAUAUCAAAAGGGGCUUCACUGAGGAUUUUUGACAUGUUUGGAAUUAAAUUUUCUUGAUUUUUUUAGAUUGAUAGGAUGAGAAUAUUCUUGAGGUUUCCUACUAUUUCAAUAUAACUAUUAACUUGUGUGCAAAAAAUUUAGAUCAUUCUUUAGAUCAAGCUGUAUCUCCAUUACAACUUCGGGUGGAUUAGAACCUCACGCACAUAUGAGAGUAAUAGGAAGUCUCUGUCCGAGGACCAUGAAUAUAACAUAAAUUUUGACAGAGUUAUUGCCCUUUUUGAAGUUAGAAAGUUCUGCAGUCGCCAUCACUGUGGAUAGCUGAGCACACUGUGCUGUCGAGAGCUCUUGUGGUUCAAAAUGAUAUAAAUGUUAAUAGCUUAACUCCCCUUAAAAUUACACAUAAUAAAUAUUAAUUUUCAAUUUUUUUCUAAGUUUUUUUCUUUAGAAAUAGUAUUAUUUUUAUAUGCCCGAAAUAAUUUCAGUCAUAUUAUGUUAAACCCCCUGGCGUCCGUCCGUUUGUCCGUCCGUCCGUUUGACCUUCAAACUGAAAACAGUUUCCGGAGCAUAACUUAAGUUCCAUUUGGUCCACAAUAUUUAAACUGCAUAGGAUGAUUGUCCAUAUUGAGUAAAAGACCCCUAUUGCUUUUGGGGUCACAUGGUCAAAGGUCACUAUUACUUUAAAACUGUAAAACGUUUCCAGAACAUAACUUAAGUUCCACUUGGUCCACAAUAUUUAAACUUCAGAGGCAUGGAUUGCUAUUUGAAGGAGGUAAUACUUUAAUUCUCAUGUCUUACACAUGCUUCAACCUUACUAAAAAAUCAACACUUUUGGGCAUAUAAUGCUCUGCCUAGCGGUGCUCUUUUUAUAUAUUUUCCGUAUUAAGUUUCCAAAUUAAUCUGUUUCGGAUUUUCUACUUUAAUUUUUUAUUUAGGGUUUUGGACCUCAGUGGAGCUUUUUUAAGUGAACUUUAAUGUUUAUUUUUUUUUAAAUUAUAUAGAUAAACUUAAGGUAACUGAGUAUAAACAUGUCUAUCUGUAAAUUAAGAUGUACAUAUCAGGAAUAUUAUACCAGUUUGUGGCUGCUCCUCAGGGAUAUAUAUUCCCAUUCUCGGCUGUCCCAAGGGUAAUUUGCCGGUUUUGAGCGGCCUCUCUUGGAUAUAUACCAGUUUUUGACUAUACUAAGGAAAUAAAUUAUGACAGAAAUAUCUGUAAGUCUAUAAUUACUCAGCUUAUUUCAAUAUUUCAGUAAAAUGUUACAUUUGUCUUCUUUAUUUCUUGAUUUUCUGCACAUUUAAGUACAGUUACUUUGAAAUAAAAUUUACCAUUAAUGGAUUGCCUAGCUUUUGAAAUUUUGUGCACUGAGAAAAUGUAAAUUUUAAUUGAAUCAGUUUAAAUGUGAAUGGGUACCCCAUGCAUAUAAACAAAUACACUUCAUUUGUGAUGAUUGUAGUUCAGCCCAGUAUAUGUGGUUUCAUAUGAUGCUAAGACUGAAAAUUAAAUGUUUUCAGACAGUAAAGAUAUAACUACAUUUUAUUAAAGCUUGGUUAGUUUGUAUGGUUGCUGAUGUUAGUAUAUACAUGUACCAGGAUUAAGAUAUGUUAUAUAUAAACAUUUGUUACACAUGUCUGUGCCUUUAUUCUGAAUGAAUAAAUGAAUGAAUGUAUCUAGUACAUAUGUAAACAUAUUAUAACAUAUAUAUACAUGUUUGUUGUAUAGUUACAUGCUAUUGCAAUGCUUUGAUGAAAAUAAGAUAACAUAAUUUUAUAUAAAGAAACAUUUUGGGACAUGUAAUCCUACAUACAUCUUAAACAGUUAUACCUGUUUGAUUUAAAGGCCCAUUAAGCCUUAAAAAUGCACUCCCUUUUAUUUUUAAAAAGCUUAAUUGUUUUAUGUCCAAAGAGUUUUUCAUUGUCCAUAUACCAGAACCAUCAUUUGUUUGUUUUGCAUUUAUUCAUGUUUGAUUUAAAGGCCCAUUAAGCUUAGAAAAUGCAGUAUGUUAUUUUUCAAAAGUUUAUGUUUUGGUGUCCAAAACGUUUUUCAUUGGCCAUAUAUCUAAGUUAAUGUUUGUUUCUUUUGCAUUUUAGCAACUAAAACAGUUAUGAUGAAUCAGUAUUAUAUAAAAUUAUGGAAGUCAAAUUACAUUUUUUUUACAUUUUGCAUCUGUAAUAAGAAAUUAAACUCAAUUUUUUUGGCAGUUGAUAAGAAGAGCACUUGUUCUAAAUAUAUUAUUACAACAUUAUAAAACACAUAUUGGCCCUUUUACAAAAAUAAAAAUCUAUUCAUUUCUGAGGCGAAAUGUGCCUUUAAACUUUAAAUGUAUAUGUAGAGUAAAUUCAUCUAGUAUAUAAGUAAACAUAUAAUUACAUGAAGAUGUUAUUAAUUGUUAACUAGAUAUAUGAAUGUUUAUCUUUAUUUCAUGCUUAGAUUUGUUAUGUCUUGUGAACAUAUGCAUCAGACAUGUUUGUUUGUGACUUGGAAUAUAGAUUUUAUAAUUCUAGUAUAUUUGUAAACAUAUAUUAAUUUACAUGUACUAAUAACAAAUAUAUAUUGGCCAUGUUUAUGCUUAAACAAUUCUAUAUGAAGUAAAGAUAAGAUCAUGCUGGAAUAUGUCAAUUAUACAUAUACAUAUAUAUAUAACAUGACUGUUUAAAACCUGAAAUGUUUAUGGAAAACAGUAUUCAGUAUAUGAGCCGUCUCACGACAAAACCAAAAUAGUGGGUUUUCGACCAGCAUUGAUCCAGACCAGCCUGCGCAUCUGCGCAGUCUGAUCAGGAUCCAUGCUGUUUGCUAUCAGUUUCUCUACUUGUAAUAGAGUUGGUAAGCGAACAGCAUGGAUCCUUAUCAGACUGCGCGGAUGCGCAGGCUGGUCUGGAUCCAUGCUGGUGGCAAACCCACUAUGUUGGUUUUGUCAUGGCGCGGCUCAUAUAAUCUUAUCAUGGAAGCUUCAUAGACAUAAUUGUUAUUAUACUGUUUUUGUUAUUAAUGUAGUAUUUUUAAAAUAAAUCAUGUUUGUUUGAUUGGUUUUGCUAGCAUGAAUAUGUGACUUUUCUUAAUAAAAGAUUGUACAAAAUU